AUAUUGGGCAAUGGGCGAAAGCCUGACCCAGCCAUGCCGCGUGCAGGAAGACGGCCUUCUGGGUUGUAAACUGCUUUUGAUCGGGAACAAAGAGGGCAUGCGUGGCAAGUUGAGUGUACCGAUAGAAUAAGCACCGGCUAACUCCGUGCCAGCAGCCGCGGUAAUACGGAGGGUGCAAGCGUUGUCCGGAUUUAUUGGGUUUAAAGGGUGCGUAGGCGGCCUUUUAAGUCAGUGGUGAAAUCCUGCAGCUUAACUGUAGAACAGCCAUUGAUACUGGAAGGCUUGAGUACAGACGAGGUAGGCGGAAUUUAUGGUGUAGCGGUGAAAUGCAUAGAUACCAUAAAGAACCCCUAUUGCGAAGGCAGCUUACUAGGCUGUAACUGACGCUGAGGCACGAAAGCGUGGGGAUCAAACAGG
RNAcentral lists this ribosomal RNA (417 nucleotides) under uncultured bacterium. RNAcentral describes it as "bacterial SSU rRNA". It matches the Rfam family "Bacterial small subunit ribosomal RNA", at positions 361 to 776 of the family's 1533-position model. The record is from RNAcentral.